RNAcentral lists this ribosomal RNA (366 nucleotides) under uncultured eukaryote. Its description in RNAcentral is "partial 18S ribosomal RNA". It matches the Rfam family "Eukaryotic small subunit ribosomal RNA", at positions 592 to 976 of the family's 1831-position model. The record is from RNAcentral.
CAAUAGCGUAUAUUAACGUUGUUGCAGUUAAAAAGCUCGUAGUUGGAUUUCUGGAGGGAGCGUCGGCCCGUAUUUACGAGUGCGUGACGUCUCUGUCCAUCCUUGCGGGAAGGCACGGCAUUGAUUUGUUGUGUCGGAUCGCAUCAUUUACUGUGAAAAAAUUAGAGUGUUCAAAGCAGGCUUUCGCUUGAAUACAUUAGCAUGGAAUAAUAAGAUAGGACUUUGGUGCUAUCUUGUUGGUUGAGCCUAAAGUAAUGAUUAAUAGGGAUAGUUGGGGGCACCUGUAUUGCGUUGUCAGAGGUGAAAUUCUUGGAUUUACGCAAGACAAACAGCUGCGAAAGCGUCUGCCAAGGAUGUUUUCAUUAA